UUCUCGGUGCCCAAGUUUAAUAGGUCCCACGUCAAUCCAUCCCGAACUUGACAGUGAAACUAUUAAAGGGAACAUAAACGUGCAUGGGAGACUGUGUGAUUUUAUUUUAGUUCUUGGUGCCGGGAA
This 126-nucleotide ribosomal RNA is filed under the name Draparnaldia mutabilis. The record is from RNAcentral. Lineage: Eukaryota; Viridiplantae; Chlorophyta; Chlorophyceae; Chaetophorales; Chaetophoraceae. RNAcentral also lists the same sequence under 2 other names.